CACGCCACGGGAAUACGGAGGGUGCAAGCGUUAAUCGGAAUUACUGGGCGUAAAGCGCACGCAGGCGGUCUGACAAGUCAGAUGUGAAAUCCCCGGGCUUAACCUGGGAACUGCAUUUGAAACUGUCAGGCUGGAGUCUUGUAGAGGGGGGUAGAAUUCCAGGUGUAGCGGUGAAAUGCGUAGAGAUCUGGAGGAAUACCGGUGGCGAAGGCGGCCCCCUGGACAAAGACUGACGCUCAGGUGCGAAAGCGUGGGGAGCAAACAGGAUUAGAUACCCGUGUAGUCCCUGUCUCUUAUACAC
Molecule: ribosomal RNA, 301 nt
Filed under: uncultured bacterium
Lineage: Bacteria
Description: partial 16S ribosomal RNA
Rfam family: Bacterial small subunit ribosomal RNA
Source: RNAcentral